UACGUAGGGGGCAAGCGUUGUCCGGAAUCAUUGGGCGUAAAGCGCGUGUAGGCGGUUCGAUAAGUCUGCUGUGAAAGUCCAGGGCUCAACCCUGGAAAGCCGGUGGAUACUGUCGGACUAGAGUACGGAAGAGGCGAGUGGAAUUCCUGGUGUAGCGGUGAAAUGCGCAGAUAUCAGGAGGAACACCAAUUGCGAAGGCAGCUCGCUGGGACGUUACUGACGCUGAGACGCGAAAGCGUGGGGAGCAAACAGG
RNAcentral lists this ribosomal RNA (253 nucleotides) under uncultured bacterium. Its description in RNAcentral is "partial 16S ribosomal RNA". It matches the Rfam family "Bacterial small subunit ribosomal RNA", at positions 524 to 776 of the family's 1533-position model. The record is from RNAcentral.